UUCCUCACUGACCAUCCGAGUCACCACAAUGGUCGUAAGUCGGCUCUAUCCAAACAGAACCGGACGAGUCCUGCUCAGAUCAAUUCUCUGCUU
Molecule: long non-coding RNA, 93 nt
Organism: Melanotaenia boesemani (Boeseman's rainbowfish)
Lineage: Eukaryota; Metazoa; Chordata; Actinopteri; Atheriniformes; Melanotaeniidae
Exons: 3
Source: RefSeq, a predicted model, not a curated record